UUCGGAACCAGGUGACGAGGUGCAUGCUCUCCUCCGGUUGGCUCUCGUCAAGUGCCUUGCGACCGGUGAUUAGUUCCAUCAGUAUUACCCCGAAGCUGAAGACAUCGGCCUUUGUCGUCACACGCCCGGUCACUGCAUACUCGGGAGCGAGAUAUCCGAAUGUCCCUGCAAGCCUUGUCUCAAUGGAACACCCUUUCCCAUCCGGAGCAAGCCGAACUAGUCCAAAAUCGGCCACCUUGGCUCUCAUGUCAUCCCCAAGUAGGAUAUUAGAGGGCUUAAGAUCCCUGUGUAUGAAGCUCUGAUGGGCCAAACUAUGUAGA
This 320-nucleotide unclassified non-coding RNA is filed under the name Hevea brasiliensis (rubber tree). The record is from RNAcentral. Lineage: Eukaryota; Viridiplantae; Streptophyta; Magnoliopsida; Malpighiales; Euphorbiaceae.